Molecule: ribosomal RNA, 253 nt
Filed under: uncultured bacterium
Lineage: Bacteria
Description: partial 16S ribosomal RNA
Rfam family: Bacterial small subunit ribosomal RNA
Source: RNAcentral
UACGUAGGGGGCAAGCGUUGUCCGGAUUUAUUGGGCGUAAAGAGCGUGUAGGCGGCCUGAAAGGUCAGCUGUGAAAACUCGAGGCUCAACCUCGAGACGUCGGUUGAAACCAUCUGGCUAGAGUCCGGAAGAGGAGUGUGGAAUUCCCGGUGUAGCGGUGAAAUGCGCAGAUAUCGGGAAGAACACCCGUGGCGAAGGCGGUUCUCUGGGACGGUACUGACGCUGAGACGCGAAAGCGUGGGGAGCGAACAGG